UUGUGUAGUGCGAUGUGGGGACGGAGAAGGUUAACUCGGCCGGGUGUUGGAUGUCCCGGUUCAAGCAUGUAGUCGUGCUGCCUAGGCAAAUCCGGGCGGCUUAGAUGAGAUGUGAUAACGAGGCGGCUUGCCGCCGAAGCGAGUGAUACCCUGCUUCCAGGAAAAGCCACUAAGCUCUAGCUACACACGACCGUACCGCAAACCGACACUGGUGCGCGAGAUGAGUAUUCUAAGGCGCUUGAGAGAACUCUGGAGAAGGAACUCGGCAAAUUGACACCGUAACUUCGGAAGAAGGUGUGCCUUUAGUAGGUGAACCCGUACAGGGGGAGCCCAACGAGGCCGCAGAGAAUCGGUGGCUGCGACUGUUUAUUAAAAACACAGCACUCUGCAAAGACGAAAGUCGACGUAUAGGGUGUGACGCCUGCCCGGUGCUGGAAGAUUAAAUGAUGGGGUGCAAGCUCUUGACUGAAGUCCCAGUAAACGGCGGCCGUAACUAUAACGGUCCUAAGGUAGCGAAAUUCCUUGUCGGGUAAGUUCCGACCUGCACGAAUGGCGUAACGAUGGCCACACUGUCUCCUCCAGAGACUCAGCGAAGUUGAAAUGUUUGUGAUGAUGCAAUCUCCCCGCGGAAAGACGGAAAGACCCCAUGAACCUUUACUGUAGCUUUACAUUGGACUUUGAACAGAUCUGUGUAGGAUAGGUGGGAGGCUUUGAAGCGGCGCCGCUAGGUGUCGUGGAGCCAACGUUGAAAUACCACCCUGGUGUGUUUGAGGUUCUAACCUUGGCCCGUUAUCCGGGUUGGGGACAGUGUAUGGUGGGCAGUUUGACUGGGGCGGUCUCCUCCCAAAGCGUAACGGAGGAGUUCGAAGGUACGCUAGGCACGGUCGGAAAUCGUGCUGAUAGUGCAUAGGCAUAAGCGUGCUUGACUGCGAGACUGACAAGUCGAGCAGGUACGAAAGUAGGACUAAGUGAUCCGGUGGUUCUGUAUGGAAGGGCCACCGCUCAACGGAUAAAAGGUACUCUGGGGAUAACAGGCUGAUACCGCCCAAGAGUUCAUAUCGACGGCGGUGUUUGGCACCUCGAUGUCGGCUCAUCUCAUCCUGGGGCUGUAGCCGGUCCCAAGGGUAUGGCUGUUCGCCAUUUAAAGAGGUACGUGAGCUGGGUUUAAAACGUCGUGAGACAGUUUGGUCCCUAUCUUCCGUGGGCGCUGCAAGAUUGAGAGAGCCUGCUCCUAGUACGAGAGGACCGGAGUGGACGCACCUCUGGUGUAUCGGUUGUCACGCCAGUGGCAUUGCCGAGUAGCUAAGUGCGGAAGAGAUAACCGCUGAAAGCAUCUAAGCGGGAAACUCGUCUCAAGAUGAGUCUUGCCGGGGCCUUGAGCCCCCUGAAGAGUCGUUCUAGACCAGGACGUUGAUAGGCUGGGUGUGGAAGCGCAGUAAUGCGUUAAGCUAACCAGUACUAAUUGCUCGUGCGGCUUGACCCU
RNAcentral lists this ribosomal RNA (1483 nucleotides) under metagenome. RNAcentral's name for it is "bacterial LSU rRNA". It matches the Rfam family "Bacterial large subunit ribosomal RNA", at positions 1446 to 2925 of the family's 2925-position model. The record is from RNAcentral.